GGGGAACUCGCGGCCCUCGACGGCGGCGAGCGAGGAGGCUCCCGCUGCAGCUCCGAGCACCUUCCCGACAUGCUGCAUGGCCUAGACGGCCAAGGUAAUCCCUUAUUCCUUCCCCAUCCUGCCAAGUACGUACAUAGCUUGCAGCAAUGUCAUGUGCUGCUGCUUCCUUGGGCAGACUAGCGCCGCAGAUCCGGAUGAUUGCCACAUACAUUUUUUUCAGAGAGAGGAACGGACACUCGUAUCCGGAAUAGAUACCAUAGUAUGUUUGUUUGCAAGAGAUCCGUGGAACUCAAAUAAAACUCUAAGUAUAGGGAUGAAGUCAUCUAGGAAAUAGAUCUGAGGACUAUGGUGAAGUUACAAAAUAAAAAUCAAAUCACUUGCACAUAUCAAACUGACUUCUGAGUAGGAAUUUGGUUGCUCCGUAAAGGCUGCAGUUUUACAAUUUGUUCUUUCUUGACUUCCACGGAUGCAUAGCUCCCUGAGUUGUUUGGCUGUUUACAUGCAUGUUUAUGGGCUAUUUUGUGCAACUAAAUAAAUUCAUUUAUGGUUUUCAUAUACUCAUGUCCUUUAUUAGCUUGAUGAGGUACACCUUAUGUAGGACUGAAUUAAAAAUAUUACACUUCUCGGUGAAAACUUUAUCUAGCAUAUGCAAUGUUAAGUUCUGUGAGCAGUGUCAAGUUAGAAGAAUAAGUUAUGCAUCUGAAAACAAAUCUCUUCUUUUUUUCAUAUUCAUAGAAAAUAAGUUAGUUGUUGAGUGUUUACUUCCCAAGUGACAACUGAGUAAUCACGUUCAGGUACAAUAAAAAAUGGCAAGCCAGAAUGUGCUAGCUAUUUGCCAAUUUGUCGUAACAUGCAUGUAAAGAGAUGGCAGCAGUUUAUGCACAUUUCUUGACUUCAACAGAUGACUAUCCAGAUUCAAUUGGGACCGUUAAGGAGCACAAAGGUAGAUUGAAAAUUACCAGCGAGUCCAUCUCCUACUUCGACUGCAAUGUAAUGCUGAGUCUCACUUUCUUUCUUCCGUCUCUUUUCUCUUCUUAUCAGAGCAAAGAUGCAUUUCAGGCGAUGAACUCAACCAUUGCUCUGGGUUUGUGUGUGUGUGUGUGUGUGUGUGAGAGAGAGAGAGAGGGUGAGAGAGGGAGAAGUUGUUAGCUUUAAGCUGUCUUGUGAUUUCGUUUCCACUUGAAUCUGCUAUAUGACAUCUUCCAUGUUGUUUGUAUUACACCGUCGCGUCUCAUGUAACUUAUGAGGUUGGAGAUGGACAGCUUUUGUUUGUCUUCAGCCUUUACGUAACCUUUCCUAAGAUAUGUGCUUUCACUGCUUACUUGUGGAUCUGAAAGUUUUUCUUUGAUUAGAUGGUGUUGGUUGUAACAGAAUAGUAGAAUGCAUUGGCUAGCAGAUGUGAGGUUAUUCGGCUUUAAGUAUACAAUAAACGAAUGCAUUUACUUGACAGUGUUUGUAAUCUGCAUGAAAAGUUUAUCCUCUAAAGAAGCAAAUUGCGUCCUGUCCUGUGCAUACGCCCAACUGUUUAUUAUAUGGAAGAAAAAUAUAAGAUGCCAACCUGAUACACUCUUCCUAGAGUAAAAUUGUCAUUUCCUGCUUGUGGUAUUUACUUUGCAUUCACUGAACAUGCGUAUCUACUCUGUAUAACAAAGGUUCCGAUACAUAAUUUCAUUCACAAUUCUGUAUGGGAGGUUGGAUUGUCCUAUCCUUCAUUCACUCUUGAUUAUCUUAUGAUAACCGACUAGUAUUGAAGUUGAUGUUGUCGCAUUCGAUUGUUUUUGAAGAAUUCUGGGAAGCAAAAAAUGUUUGAGAAUGCAUUGAACCUGCAUGUUGUAGAUGUGCCUACUAACAUUUCAUGACAUUGUCAGUCUUUUCAAGUUAGUAAUAACAUGGUAUUCUGGAGUUGCUGAUAACAAUCAGCUUAGUUAUAAUUGUUGAUCGAACUGGGUGUAGCUUUUAUGUUAUACUCCCUCCGUCCCAAAUUAAUUGACUUACAUUCAUCUAGAUACGGAUGUAUCUAACACUAAAACAUGGUUAGUCAUGUCCGUAUGUAGACAAAUCUGAGUCAACUAAUUCGGGACGGAGGGAGUAUUGUUCAGUGAGCUUUUUAUAGAGGUACAAGCUGGUCGUUGUGUUCAGAGGCUUGAUAUGACUGUUAACUCUAUAUUGUUUGGUUGUGUAUAUUUGCAAAUGAAUAUUGAUGCUAAUCACAUAGAGGAAAUAUGCAGGUCAUGGUCUUAAUCACGUGCGAUGGAUUAACAUAUUUCCUUCUUUUUGCUAUGAUUGCAAUGUGGCUGCUGAUGACUCACUGUCUUCAAAAUGCUUUUUAUUGAUCAAUAAAACUAUUAUCAAGCCCUGUUAAACAAUAACAAGCUUUGAUGCUCUGUUUUCAGUGAGAUUGCGAAGAACUUGCCACUUGCACCAGUAAAUCUCCAUUGCACUAUGCCUGCUGAAGAUGCAAUUAAAAUCAAAGAAGGUGAAUCUGGGAGACAGCCUUGUAGAGACACCUUUGAAAGGUUCGUUUAUUAUUUCAAACUGCUUAGUUUUGUAGAUCAUGCCCCAAAAUAAAUAGGUCUCAACAUUAUUGCUGCUAGUAGUUGAUAGUCUGUCAAUUGGGUUGAGGCAGUUUAUGUUCAUUUUUCUGAUGUAUACUUCCAUUUCUCUGCAAGAUGUAUGAUACCCGUAUUAGCAAAUCUUAAGUGGUGAAGUCGAUUCAUGACCGUAAUGCUUGCAGUCUUGACCCCCCCUCCCCCCUCCGGGUCACUGGUCAUGAUAAGCAUUUCAUAUUGUACAAACAAAAGUUUUGUUUUUCAUUGAGCUUUUUUGUGUCAAGCAAUAUGUGUAACUCCAUCUUAGCUUGCAGAAUACACAAGAACUGUUAGUUUUUAAUGCUUUUUUGUAUUUUUGUCCUAUUGUUGUAUCGACACAGUUUCAGUUCCUUUAAGUACACUUUACUUACCUUAAGCUCUCAACUAUUUGUUUGUUGUGUUGUUGGCUUAAUAAAACUGAUGUAACUCAGUUUCUUGUAUGUACCCAUGAGGACCGUCG
This 3048-nucleotide long non-coding RNA is filed under the name Hordeum vulgare. RNAcentral's name for it is "long non-coding RNA (HVUL_LNC000346)". The stretch from base 1961 to 2095 matches the Rfam family "MIR1120/MIR1122 microRNA precursor family". Lineage: Eukaryota; Viridiplantae; Streptophyta; Magnoliopsida; Poales; Poaceae. The record is from RNAcentral.